RNAcentral lists this ribosomal RNA (500 nucleotides) under uncultured bacterium. RNAcentral's name for it is "bacterial SSU rRNA". It matches the Rfam family "Bacterial small subunit ribosomal RNA", at positions 32 to 518 of the family's 1533-position model. The record is from RNAcentral.
AACGCUGGCGGCGUGCCUAACACAUGCAAGUCGAACGGAGAUUAACGCUGAUGAAGCUUCGGCAGAAUCUUGUUAAAUCUAGUGGCGGACGGGUGAGUAACGCGUGGGCAACCUGCCUCAUACUGGGGGAUAGCAGUUGGAAACGACUGAUAAUACCGCAUAAGCGCACAGAGUCGCAUGACUCAGUGUGAAAAACUCCGGUGGUAUGAGAUGGGCCCGCGUCAGAUUAGCUAGUUGGUAAGGUAACGGCUUACCAAGGCGACGAUCUGUAGCCGGACUGAGAGGUCGGACGGCCACAUUGGGACUGAGACACGGCCCAAACUCCUACGGGAGGCAGCAGUGGGGGAUAUUGCACAAUGGAGGAAACUCUGAUGCAGCGACGCCGCGUGAGUGAAGAAGUAUUUCGGUAUGUAAAGCUCUAUCAGCAGGGAAGAAAGACUCGCAAGAGAGAUGACGGUACCUGACUAAGAAGCCCCGGCUAACUACGUGCCAGCCGCUGC